RNAcentral lists this transfer RNA (69 nucleotides) under Marmota monax (woodchuck). RNAcentral describes it as "tRNA.Tyr". The stretch from base 6 to 64 matches the Rfam family "tRNA", at positions 7 to 64 of the family's 71-position model. From Rfam's summary of the family: Transfer RNA (tRNA) molecules are approximately 80 nucleotides in length. Their secondary structure includes four short double-helical elements and three loops (D, anti-codon, and T loops). Further hydrogen bonds mediate the characteristic L-shaped molecular structure. tRNAs have two regions of fundamental functional importance: the anti-codon, which is responsible for specific mRNA codon recognition, and the 3' end, to which the tRNAs corresponding amino acid is attached (by aminoacyl-tRNA synthetases). tRNAs cope with the degeneracy of the genetic code in two manners: having more than one tRNA (with a specific anti-codon) for a particular amino acid; and 'wobble' base-pairing, i.e. permitting non-standard base-pairing at the 3rd anti-codon position. Lineage: Eukaryota; Metazoa; Chordata; Mammalia; Rodentia; Sciuridae. The record is from RNAcentral.
GGGAUGUGGCUCAGUGGUAGAGAGCUUGCCUAUAAUGCAUAAGACCCUGGGUUUGAUCCCCAGCUCUUG